Molecule: transfer RNA, 73 nt
Filed under: Schistocerca americana (American grasshopper)
Lineage: Eukaryota; Metazoa; Arthropoda; Insecta; Orthoptera; Acrididae
Description: tRNA-Tyr
Rfam family: tRNA
About the family: Transfer RNA (tRNA) molecules are approximately 80 nucleotides in length. Their secondary structure includes four short double-helical elements and three loops (D, anti-codon, and T loops).
Source: RNAcentral
CCUCUGAUAGCUCAGUUGGUAGAGCGGUGGACUGUAGAUCCAUAGGUCGCUGGUUCAAAUCCGGCCCAGAGGA